This 839-nucleotide ribosomal RNA is filed under the name uncultured archaeon. RNAcentral's name for it is "bacterial SSU rRNA". It matches the Rfam family "Archaeal small subunit ribosomal RNA", at positions 21 to 859 of the family's 1478-position model. The record is from RNAcentral.
AGGUUACUGCUAUCGGUGUUCGCCUAAGCCAUGCGAGUCAUAUGUUCUUCGUGAACAUGGCGUACUGCUCAGUAACACGUGGAUAACCUGCCCUUGGGUCCGGCAUAACCCCGGGAAACUGGGGAUAAUUCCGGAUAACGCACAUAUGCUGGAAUGCUUUAUGCGUCAAAUGGAUUCGUCCGCCCAAGGAUGGGUCUGCGGCCUAUCAGGUAGUAGUGGGUGUAAUGUACCUACUAGCCUACGACGGGUACGGGUUGUGAGAGCAAGAGCCCGGAGAUGGAUUCUGAGACAUGAAUCCAGGCCCUACGGGGCGCAGCAGGCGCGAAAACUUUACAAUGCGGGGAACCGUGAUAAGGGGACACCGAGUGCCAGCAUCAUAUGCUGGCUGUCCGGGUGUGUAAAAUACACCUGUUAGCAAGGGCCGGGCAAGACCGGUGCCAGCCGCCGCGGUAACACCGGCGGCCCGAGUGGUGAUCGUGAUUAUUGGGUCUAAAGGGUCCGUAGCCGGUUUGGUCAGUCCUCCGGGAAAUCUGACGGCUUAACCGUUAGGCUUUCGGGGGAUACUGCCAGACUUGGAACCGGGAGAGGUAAGAGGUACUACAGGGGUAGGAGUGAAAUCUCGUAAUCCCUGUGGGACCACCUGUGGCGAAGGCGUCUUACCAGAACGGGUUCGACGGUGAGGGACGAAAGCUGGGGGCACGAACCGGAUUAGAUACCCGGGUAGUCCCAGCCGUAAACGAUGCUCGCUAGGUGUCAGGCAUGGCGCGACCGUGUCUGGUGCCGCAGGGAAGCCGUGAAGCGAGCCACCUGGGAAGUACGGCCGCAAGGCUGAAACUUAA